RNAcentral lists this ribosomal RNA (629 nucleotides) under uncultured Russulaceae. RNAcentral's name for it is "LSU rRNA". It matches the Rfam family "Eukaryotic large subunit ribosomal RNA", at positions 47 to 649 of the family's 3401-position model. Lineage: Eukaryota; Fungi; Basidiomycota; Agaricomycetes; Russulales; Russulaceae. The record is from RNAcentral.
UAAGCGGAGGAAAAGAAACUAACAAGGAUUCCCCUAGUAACUGCGAGUGAAGCGGGAAAAGCUCAAAUUUAAAAUCUGGUGGCCUUUGGCCAUCCGAGUUGUAAUUUAGAGAAGCGUCUUNCGCGCUGGACCGUGCACAAGUCUCCUGGGAUGGAGCGUCAUAGAGGGUGAGAAUCCCGUCUUUGGCACGGACGCACCAGGGCUUUUGUGAUGCGCUCUCGAAGAGUCGAGUUGUUUGGGAAUGCAGCUCAAAAUGGGUGGUGAACUCCAUCUAAAGCUAAAUAUUGGCGAGAGACCGAUAGCGAACAAGUACCGUGAGGGAAAGAUGAAAAGCACUUUGGAAAGAGAGUGAAACAGUACGUGAGAUUGUUGAAAGGGAAACGAUUGAAGUCAGUCGCGUCGUCCGAGACUCAGCCUCGCCUCGGCUUGGUGUACUUCUCGGCCGACGGGUCAGCAUCAAUUUUGCCCCUUGGAUAAUGGCGAGGGAAAUGUGACACCUUUACAGGUGUGUUAUAGUCUCUCGUCGCAUGCAAGGGUCGGGAUUGAGGAACUCAGCACACGCCUUUGGGCGUCGGGGCAUCUGCCCACGAUACGUGCUUAGGAUGUUGGCGUAAUGGCUUUAAACGACC